RNAcentral lists this long non-coding RNA (6114 nucleotides) under Olea europaea subsp. europaea. The record is from RNAcentral. Lineage: Eukaryota; Viridiplantae; Streptophyta; Magnoliopsida; Lamiales; Oleaceae.
CCGAUCCUGGCCGGUUAGAAGUAGGGCUCAUGCCUAGAUUUCAUGGCGAUCUGGGCCGAUUCCCUUUCCUAGACAAAGGGCCGUGUCUGGAAGGAAAGACUUGAAAUUUAGAGGAAAUUGUGCAGUGUUUAUUUCGACCUCCCAUGGCUGUUUUCUUGCAAAGAUGAGUAAAUUGGUAAUCUGAAGAUAUAACUCUAAGGUGAGUUAAUUGCGUGAAGUGUAAUUUUAUUGAAGCUUUUAAUGUUGUAUUUCUUGGAUUUUCUUUUCUUGGUUUUGGCUAAAUAAAAAUUCUAAUUAAUGCGUACUGAGUUUUGAGUAUGGUAAAUCAGCUGAUAUCUUACUUUCAGAAGAAACUAAGCAUUCUGGGAAGUUGCUUCAGCGCUAUUGUAUUAACACCCCACCUGUAAUUCACUUCUAAUUUCUGUGUUUGCUAUGGAAUAUUAAUUUGAUGCAUACAUGUAUGUGUUGUGUGAGAUUUUUUUUUUUUUUUUUUUUUUCUGAUUUUGUGAUUUAGAUUUUCAGUUGAGUUAUCACAAAUUUAAUGAGUCUCAACAAGAACAAAUAGUUAUCAAGAGAUAACAUGAUUGUGAAAUGUAGCCCUAAUAAGUGAUGCUGGGACACUAGGUAUCAAUGAUCCUGGAAUGGAACUGGUGAGACAUAUAUUAAUGCUGUGAUUUUGCAUUGUUAGCUUCAUGAAGUGUUGCUUUUAUACGUAUACUCAUAUAAGUAUGUAUAUGUCUGUAAAUGUGAGGCAUCUCAGCCUUAGUACGAGACUUCUGCUCCUUGCGCAGAAUGGAAUGCCCUUGAUUGCACUUGCGCAUUUAAAUAACAAGAAUUCAUUGGGCUGAUAAUAUCAUAGAUUCGGGUCUCAUAUAUGGUAUUUUGGAGUAUGGAUGUAGGCAAAGUUGUGUGUGGAUCAAAAUAUACCUGUUAUUCCCGUCCUCGGGUCAUCUUCUUUGAGUUUAUUAAUUAACGAGUUCACAUUUGGUAGUUCUUUUAUAACUCUGGUAUUCAAUUGCUUGAUUAUAUGUGGCUUUCUACCUAAACAUGCUGGAACGAGAAGAGAGAGGCUGAUAGUUUCUGCAAAUGAAGCAGCCACACGGGUCUUCAUUGUUCCUUAUCACAAGCUCUCUCAAUUUCUUGAAUAGGCUUCUUCAAUUUUUGGCAACUCUAUGUAAAUCUUGUCAACGACUGUGGUACCUUUUGUAACCAUUGUUGUAAAUAUAAGUUUGACAAUGAAACAGAUGGGCAUUUAAAAUAUUUGAUAGUUCUCACUUGUUGGAAUGAACACUAAAGCUAUCUCCCACAUAUUGUGAUUCUUUAUUAUUCCUUUCUGAAGGAUUCUAGAACUUCCUUGCUUCUGGAAAAUCAAUUUCACAGUGCGUACAUUUUUUAAACCAGGGGACAAAUGUCAAUCCAAACCGGAGUGUAGACUCCUCCUUUUUUCUAAGUUAGUUGUCUCUAAUUCUGAAAAAUGAAACUGAAGAAAUGCAAUGUAUACGAUCUUUGUCUAAUCACUUUGCAUUUAUCACAGGCGAUGUAUCAUUGCUCGGAGGAUGACUAAAAUACAUGAAGAGAUAAAGAUUGCAAUUUGUGAUUUGCCUAUUUGUUCUCAUUCUAUGUGCCAUUUUAGUAAUUACCUGCUCUAGUUUUUUGAAAAGAGUGGAAUUAAGAGAGAUGAUAAAUUAUGAAUUUGAAAACUGAAAUUCAAUAUCCGUUUUUAAAAUUGCAACUGGACAAUCUAUUAUACAACACUUGAGUCAUGGACACUAGGGUAUACAGAAACAAAUAGCAAAGCCAAAUUAUGGUACACAUUUCAUGCCUGAUCUAAAAUUGAAAUUUAACCAGAAGAACUGGAAAAGACUUCACAGACCACUUCUUCUGAAGAUGGAGAAACUGAAGUCGGUAAAUUCAACUCUCCCCCUCUCUUUUCCUGGAGAAGUUGAGCAGUUGUUUAUUAAGCUGUAUUCUUACUUAUCUUUGAACAUUAACUACAUAUGCCACUAAGGAGCAACAUCUUAGACCUCCCCACAAACUAGUGCCGUCAAUUCUCUUAAUUAACUGUGGGCAAACCCUUUGGACUGGAAAAGGGAGAAAACAGUAUCAGUUUCAUUGUACGCUCUAAUUUCAUUAUGUUUAUUGGCAAUCUAUUUCGUGUUAUUUGUUGUAGUCCCAUUUUAGAAAGAACUGGAGUUUCCUGUGAUAAAUCUUUGUGAUUACUGCUUUCAAUUGCAUGCCCUCCAUCAAUUUAAAUUCCUUAGGGUGUCUUUGGUAGAAGGGGUGGAAGUGGUGAAAUGGAAAGUAACAGGUAUGUUCUUUCCAUUUCUUUAGGAAGGAAGGACAGUCGGAGGCAAUUGGAUUUGUAAUGUUAGUUAGAACAGAAAAGGAAAGAAGACAAAAAUGUCGAGUUUAUGGAAUUUACCUUCUUAUAUAUAAAGGGACUGAAAUCUCUUGUUAACUUGGUCUAGCUUGACAAGAAUGCCUAGAUGGUUAGAAAUAUGUACAAAAAGGUAAGGAAAUAAUGUCGACUAGAAAUUCUAGUCAACUUUGCCUAGUUUGACAAGAAUCCCAAUAUCUUUCGAAAUUCGUGCAAAAAGAAAGAGAUAAUGUCUAAAUGGACUAGGCAUUCUUGUCAGAUUUGCCUAGUUUGAUGACAAUCCCUUGAUGGUAUGAAAUUUGUGCAAAAAGGAAGAGUGAGGAUUUGGUAACACUUUUGAAUAGAGAAGGGCAUAUUUGUCAGAAAUUUCAUAAAAUAAAAAAUAUUUACAAACCCAAAAGUAGUGGAUAAAAUUCAUUUUCUUACUCUAAAAGUGUCAUAUGGAGGAAAUUUCUUCUACACAUAAUGAAGUCUUCAAGAUGAGUAAAAGAGAGUUUUUGCACUUCAACUAAUUGUUAUAUAAUUUUUUCUUCAAUUUUCCCUCAUAUUUGGAGUGUUUUGAAAUGAUGGGUGGGAUUUAGUUCUAUUUCCCAUUCCUUUUAUUUUCUCUCGUACCAAAUGUUGGACGUGUUAGCAUUUCCAUCACAAUUUUGCAUCCCAUUUCUAUCAUUACCAAAUUGAGUGUUUAACAGUUUUCCUUCACCACACUUGCCUAACUUUUUGUAAAGUUUCGAGACUGUCUUCGAUCUGAAGAAAUUGUUGUGUUCUGUGCGUCGUUCAUGAAUCCCAUGAUCUAACUAGCUUGCUUGUAUAAUAAACUUGGGGUGAUGGUGAUAAUUUAACAGUUAGUAUAUGGACACCUCAUCUUUUCUUGGUUAUGGUCCUUUCCAAAUCACUACUGAAAUAUUAUGCAGAUGUGGAUAAGGUUUUUUAAGGUGACUUUUAAUUUUUCUUUUUUUUCCUUGUUCCUUUUUUCACUUUAAUCUCGAUAAUUUACAGAUUUUUUUCAUACUUACAACUGUAUAUAACCCAAUUUACAAGAAUUAAUUACUACAAAAGUCCAGAUUGAAAUUGGAUUCUUAGCCAAGGAAAUUAGAAAUUCUAAUCACAACCACCACUUAAGACAGUUGGGUGCAUGCCUCUGGCAUAAUCCCUUGAUUUUAGCACCUCAUUAAUCGUGUUGUCAUUUGAAAGAGACCAAGAAGACAUAGGUAUAGCCUUGUCAGAAUUUGGCAGUAAUCAGUUAACACCAAACCUGUUGCUAAAGUAGUGGAAUAGUUCCAUUUUUCUUUGAUACAAGGGGUGCACAAAAUGUGGGGUGUAGCAGUUAUAUUAUGCAUUCUUUUAGUUACAAUAACUGAUACUUCAGUCAUUAUAUAAAUUUUCUAUUCAGUGCCCGGGAGAUAAAGGAGCACCGAGGGAUAUGCACAAACAAUUAGGGAUUGUGUGUAGUUACAUGGAAACUGUAGGAGUUUUGGUAUGCAUAGUGAAUGUAAUUCUAAUAAGUGAAACCUGAAAAUUAGAAAAUGAAGCAUAAUAUUUGGCUGCUUGUAUAUGCAUAUGCUUUAUGAACAUGUAUUUAUGAAAUAUUAAUAUGGUGAAAUUAUUUCCUUGGAGAUAUGUUCAUCAUUAUUUAGCAUAUUCAUUCACUCCUAUCAUACUCAAAAAUAAAAAUUACCUAAAUGGGCGUGUUUCUAUGUGAGUUAUUUCAUUUGCCGCCCAUUAAUAGGAUAUUAUUGUGUUCAUUUAGUUCUGGCUUGGUACUCUUGGGGAUGCCAACAAGCAUUCUCAGGCCACCAACCAAAGGGAGAAAUUACACUCUUGAUUGAAGGAAUGACAAUUAGUAAGGAUGAAACUCUUACUGAAUCUCAACUAGAGAAUGAAUUGAAAGAGUUGAUCUUGCUAGGGCAUAGCCUUUUUAUGGUAAUGGCUUUCCCCAUAGUUUCUGUUUUUUCAGAUCCAUUGAUUCGUACAAAUGCAUAUGCUAUGGUUCCCAUGUGGGAUUGGGCUAUAUGCCUAUCGCUUAGGUUUAUAUAGAAUGAUCUGUGUGAUGCCUAUAUUAUUCAAAUGUUAUUGACUUGUAAUAUUGGUUACUAUAAAAAUAGCUGAUGCAUUGAGGACAUAAUUAAUUUGUUAGUUGAUGGCUAUCUUUGAUUUAUCUAUUAAAGCAAUUGUUGCAAUAUUUCUCAAAUGCCACUUAAAAACAGAAAUAUUAGAUUCGUGUCUAGAAUUUGCAAUAUCCUUAAAAUCUGCAGUAACUAGGUUUCUUGGAUACGUGGAAAUAUGGUAACCAUAUACCUCAUCUAAGUUACGGUUGAUUUUGAAUGUCAUGUCAUGAAAUUGAAUUAUGUCUCAAAGUUGAUUGUUUUAGGUGUGUAAUUUUGAUUAUCAACAGGGGAGGACUUGAAGGACGUGAAAAGGACUGUAAUACACAAAAUUGGUGAGUGCUUAGGAGAAAAAAGUCUAGCUGGAAAAUAUCUACGCCGCCGUAUAAUUCAACAGCGCAUCUUUAAUUUAGCUUUAUUAAGCAGUCAUGCUCUCAAUUGGGGUACAUGUAAUAAGAGAACAUGUUUUUGUGACUAGCCGUAAAUUUGGAUAAUAAUAGGUUAGGUUUCUUGUCUGGAAAUAUGCACAAAUCAAAGCAUGCAAAACAUGCUACAGAAUAACACUUAAUUUUAACUUCUAAGUUUCCACCAAAUUGAUGUGAAAUAUUAAUAUCAUACUUUGUUUAACAUUCAAGCUUCCAAACAAAUUGAAGUGCUUGCCUUAGAAUUUACUUUAUGUAAUAGAAAGGGCAUUCAAAUGCAUUUUUGGUUCGAUAACAUUUACUUAUUGUAGUUUGGAGCUUGCUUUCUAUACUUUAACUGAUUUUAUUCAUGGAUUCAUUAUGGUAGAUUGGUAAAAUGCCUUUUAUCGAUAACAAGCUUUAUCCGAUAAAAGCAGUUAAGUUGGUGUUGCAGGAACAUUGAUUAAAACUGAAAAGAAAAGCAAGAUAAUCUCUUGCAUUUGAGAAAUUUAGGGAACAACUUGUUUCAGAUGGCAAUGGAAAUUAAUUGGAUUUAUGGCUGUCUACACAAGUUUCUUAACACGCUAAAAAUUUGUUGACAUCCAUGUAUCAAUCAAGUUUGGUUAUCUACGUAGUUAACCUCUGUUUCAAUCUAAUUUGUAGGGAAGAUUCUGGUGAUCGAGGACAGGCUUCUAUUGAUGCCACAUCCUGUAAUGGUCGGGAGAUGUGUUCUUUACAUUGAUUCCUUCGAGCAGAGAAACUCUCCUUCCAAAUUAUGUGAAAAUUACUAUGAUAUGAUAGCUGAUGCUGAAUACGGAAUAGAGUUAGCAGAAAUUAAUGGCUUGAAAAUCGACAUUCAGCAAUUUUGACGAGUUUCUCAUUGAUAAUUUCUGUGUAGUUUUAGUUCUGGAUAUGACUGAACAUGUCAAAAAACAAGAACUCUUGGAAAGCAUGUACCUUAAAAAAUGUUUUUGAAAAAGCCUAAAUUUGGAAUAUGUUUGGGAGUUCUCAAUUGGGAUAUUGCAUAUCUUCUUAAGAUAAAGAGUGCUGAUCGCCAAUAUAUGUAAAAACUAGUGUACGGACACAAAUGGUUACAAAAUGAAUCUGAAUUUGAAAUUUACUCUUUUUAUUUAAUAUUGUCUAGUACUGGCGAAUGUUCACGUGCUUAUAGCCCUAUUUAAAUUAAUUUUUUUGUGAAGUGGGGGUCUGUUUGAAUAGUAUUUGAUGGCUA